UCUUAAGCAUGAUGCUACACUUCCAUUAGCCAUGUAGGGGUAAACAAGCAAUCGUUCUGUAGGUGUCAUGCAAUAGCCACGUAACCGAAGUAAAUUUCGAUGCACAGCCAUGCUGAUCAUUUCUACUUCAGUUUAAACUCAAGCUCUACACGCGCUGUAUGUUCUUCUUUUAGUCUUUUGACAGCGACAAGAGAACCAUCAGCCAACCGGCCUUUAUAAACUUUGUAAAAUCCACCCAUGUCAAGAAUAUUUUUGUUGAGAAAAUUAUUCGUUGCAACUUGAAGUUCACGUAAAGAAAAUCUUUUGAGCUGCCCUAGAUGGACUUGUGGAUCCUCCUCAGCUGCCAAUGAAUAGAAGAUAAUUAAGAACACAUUGUACUCAAUAGUCAUGAUAAACUAAAGCCUUCUUUAGGACCACUAACCAGGAACAUCAAAGAAUUGAACAGGUUGCUUCCUUAGUCGGUACCAAGCAUUUUUCUUGCCUGUAAUGUAUCAUCAAUUGAGUAAGAUUCUAAGUUAGUUCACAGAAGUAUUCUUCACUUUCUUAAUAAAAUAGUUCACAGAAGUAUUCUUCACUUUCUUAAUAAAAUUGUGCUGAAUGUUUGAUAGAUCUUAUGUUUUUAAAGCAUUAUAUAAACGAGCACAAUGAAACACCAAUCAUAAUCCAGUGAUGAAUCUUGCCUGAAAAGAAGACACGACAUUAAAAUAGAUGUACCUUGAGGGCGCGAGACAGGCUUAUGCUCAUGAGGAGGAGAACUCAAAGUGAACCUGGAAUCGACAUACGAAGAAAUAGAUCUAAAACUUAAUCUGGAACUGACAUUACUCAGGUCCAUCGAGGGGGCACCGGCACUUUCCCAAAAACUUGAUCUGGAACUGACAUCACUCGGGUCCAAAGAGGGGGCACGGGCAAUUUCCCGAUCCUUUUCUCUCCGUCGAACGGCUACAACCAACCUUUCCCAAUUGUCUCUACUCAUCGCCUAAUAUUGCUAUUUGGUUACAGCCUUUUAAGUUUUUAUUCUUACACUUAAUUUAAGCUCAAGAAUCUAUAGAUAUUUCAGAUCUAGAAUAGGACGCAGUGUAGACAUGGAAAAUGGCUUAAAGGAAGCUGGGGAGGUAAAUUAUGGAAAGUUUUGGAGUUCGAUGACUUGGUGUUGGUGGGAAAAUUGUUUUUAAAUUAUUAUCAUUUUUUGUUAGGCACAUGUAUUUGCUUUUCCAAAGUCAAUAGGCUUUCACUUAAUCUGCAGCUUGUUGGGCAAAUCGGCUACUUUUCCUUUUCUUGUAGUGAAUCGAAACGAACCAGAUUCUUAAAUCUCCAUGUUGAAAUCAAUGAGAAAACAAAAUAAGUGCGAAAGCGUACUUUGAUUCAUAGAUCUGUGUUUUUUGAAAUCGAUUAUGAUCUUCCAACUGCAACGUGAUUUCUUGAAAUCUGUUCUCUAUUGAUGGUGAUGCAGAGAAUUCUGAAACUCACGUGCAAUUGGAGGUCAUGACCCCAUAUUAAAUAAUUGAUUAUUAUCUUGCAUUUAUUUUAAAUUCGCCUUUCAUCAAUUUAAAAUAAUUAUUCUGGUCUAUACACUUUAAUCCUAUGAGAAUUAAUACCCGUUAGUCCAAAAUUAAACUUAAUGAAUCACCUUAUCGACUAAAACUUAAAGAUAGCACCACACAUUUUAAUAUAUAUACAUGUAUGGCCCCAUACGAUGGAAUUUUUCUAAUAAUCUCCCACUGGGUCAUACAUCUAAUAUUACAAAUGUGUGCAACUUUAUGAGCUCAAACUUUUGCUAUUAUUUUUAAGGGUAUUUUUAAACAUUCUCGUUCAUUAGUCAUAUUGAUGUAGGAUCAAAGCGAUUUUUGUCACAUUUGACGUGAUUGAAUCUAUCAAUGAUCACGCACACCCAUACAACCAAAUGACAUAUAUUAAUCAUGGGAGUGUAGCAAGGAAAUUACAUUUUAUGUGAUCCGAACAUGUCUAUUUUCAACUGGUCCUACCUUAUUUCUUAAGUGAGAUCAAUACUCAACAUAAUAACAAAGUGGAAUGAACUGAAUAGUUCAUUUCUAUACAGAAAAAUAUCCAACUACACAAAUAUGUCUAAAGUAAACAUAAAACAACGAGAAUACAAACUCCCACUAAAACAUGAUAUCCUCAAGAAAUACAACACUCAUGCAAACAGUGUGCUCAUGAAAGACCUUGGGUGGUAAUCGUUUAGUGAGCGGAUCCGUAAUCAUGGAGUUUGUUCUAAUGUGCUCUAUAGAAAUUUGUCCACUCUGUACUAUUUCCUUCACAACCGGGAACUUAAUGUCAAUGUAUUUUGAUUAGAUGAGCUCCUGUUAUUAGAAUAUAGAACUAUCGAGUUAUUAUCACAAUAUAACUUUAGUGGUCUUUCUAUUCCAUUCAGAAUGCGCAACCCAGUGACAAAAUUUCACAGCCAUAUUCCAUGGUUAGAUGCCUCAUAGCAUGCUACAAACUUUGCAGCCAUGGUAAAAGAAGCUAUGAGUGUUGCAUGGCAUUCUUCUAAGAAAUAGCUCCUCCAGCUAACAGAUAGAUAUAGCUUGAUGUGGAUCUUCUACUGUCUUGGCACCCAACAAUGUCAGAAUCGGAGUACCCUAUGAUCUCUAACUGGUCCAAUCUGCUAUAUGUGAGCAUAUAAUCCUUUAUCCUCUUUAAAUACCUCAUAACCCUUUUGACUGCUUUCCAAUGAUCCAUCCCAGUGUUGCUUAAAUAUCUACCUAGAACUCCUACAAUGAAUGCUAUGGCCGGACGUGUACAAAUUUGAGCAUACAUUAGACUCCCAAUAGCUGAUGCAUAGGGAAUCUUUUACAUUUUCUUAGCUUCAAUGUCAUUUUGUGGGCACUGUUUGAGAUUAAAUUUGUCUCCCUUAGUGACAGAGUGUCACCUGGUUUAUAGUCUUGCAUGCCAAACCUCUUAGGCACUUUAUCGAUAUAACUCUUUUAUGACAAUCCAAGAAUAUCUCGAGAGCGAUCCCGAUGUAUUUGAAUCUCUAUUACAAAAGAGGCGUCACCAAGAUCUUUCAUCUCAAAAUUCCUUGAUAAAAAUCUCUUGGUUUCGUGCAACAUGCCUAUAUCGUUAGUGGCAAACAGUAUGUCAUCAACAUACAAAACUUGGAAAAUAUGCUUACUCCCACUGAACUUGUGAUACACACAAUCAUCAAAAGCAUUAAUCUCAAAACCAAAUGAGACGAUUACUUGAUGGAAUUUGUGGUACCAUUGACAGGAAGCUUGCUUGAGCCCAUAGAUAGAUUUCUUUAAUUUGCAGACCAUAUUCUUCGGGUCUCUUGACACAAAGUUUUCUGGUUGCACCAUAUAGAUCGUCUCAUCAAUAUCACCAUUGAGAAACGCUAUCUUAACAUCCAUCUGAUGUAACUCAAGGUCAAAGUGCACAACAAGUGCCAUAAUUGACUUAAAUGUGGGAUCAUAAAAUUUAUAGCCCCUAGAUCGCUUAGAGUAACCAAUAAAAUAACUACUAACUAUUUUGGAGUCCAAUUUCUUUUCAUGUGGCCUAUAAGGCCUCGCCUCAGCUGGACAUUCCCAAAUGUGAAAAUGCUUUAGACUAGGUUUUCUGCCUGGUCAAAGCUCAUAAGGUGUUUUAGCAGCAGUCUUAGUUGGUACUCUGUUCAGAAUAUAAGCUACAGUCUUUCAUGCCUCUCCCCUAAGUGAUUUCGCAAGGUGGAAUGACUUAUCAUACUCCUUACCAUGUCCUUAAGAGUUCUAUUUCGUCUUUCAGCUACACCAUUCAUGCUAGGCGAUCCUGGCAUGGUGUACUAUGGGACGAUUUCACACUCCCUUGGAUAUUUAGCAAAUGGUCCUAGACAUUAUUCACCUGAACCGUUAUAUCUGUAGUAAUACUCACCACCACGGUCAGACCUAACGCUCUUUAUCCUUUUUGUUGAGUUGAUUCUCAACCCCAGCUUUAAAUUGAACACGUCCAGUGACUCAGACUUUUCAUGAUGAGAUAUGGGUACCCAUAACGUGAGUAAUCGUCUAUGAAUGAUAUAAAAUAUUGUUGACCAUUCCAAGAAGCCAUAGGAAAUGACCCACAAAUAUCUGUAUGUAUCAAUUCUAAGACGUCUGACGAUCUUUAGCACCUAACCUCAUUGUUUUGGUCUGUUUUCCCUUGAUACAAUCAAUACAUGCAUCAAAAUUUGUGAAGUCAAGAGAAUCCAAAAUACUAUUUGGCACAAGUCACUCAAUUCUAACUUUUGAAAUGUGAUCUAAGCACUUGUGCCAUAAUUUCGCUGAAUUUUCUUUAUUUAAUUUGCGUUUAAUUCCUCGGGAUUCAACAUGCAAGAUUUCAUUAAAUGAUAUGAUUAUAUCAAGCAAAUAUAGGUUAUCAUAUGCACAUAAUAAACCAGUACUAAUAAUAUUGGAAUUUAAUGAAAGACUAAACUGAUUGUUUCCAAAUGAACAACAAUAUCCAAAUUUGUCCAAUAGAGAAACAGAAAUUAAAUUUCGUCUAAAACAUAGCACAACAAAAGUGUCUUCCAAAUCCAAAUAAUAACCAGUUCCCAAUAAUAACCUAAAAGUGCCUAUUGCAUCAACUUCCACUGAUUUGCCAUCACCCACAUAGAUGUAUCCUUCACCAUCACUUGGUUUUCGGUAGCUUAGGCCCUGCAUAGAAACACUUAUGUGAGUAAUAGCACCAGAAUCUAUCCACCAAGUGUUUCUAGGUACUGAAACUAAAUUAUUCUAAGAACAGACUAAAGUAAGAAUUGUACCUUUCUUUGCAUGUCAUGCGUGAUAUUUGGCACAUUCCUUCUUCACAUGUCUAACCUUAUUGCAAAAGAAAUAAGUUCUUUUAUCUUCCUUCUGUUUCUUUUGUGCUGGACCCUUUAGAGCAGCUUCAUAUUCCUUCAUCUUUUUUUUGCCCUUAUCCUUAGAAGUGCUUGCCAAAUGAGCAAAUUCAAUUCUAUCUUGUUUCAACAUUUCUUCCUCUUGCACACAAUAUGAAACAAGCUCAUUUAGAGACUAUUUCUCCUUCUGACAGUUAUAACUGACCUUAAAAUGACUGAACUUUGCAGGAAGCGAGAUCAAUACCAGAUGCACGAGCAAGUCAUCAGACAGCUCAAGCUUUAGCCCUUUAAGUUUUGAAGCAAUAUGAGACAUCUCCAUAAUGUACUCCCUUAUGUUCUCCUUACCUUUAUACUUCUUAGAAAUCAAGCUUUGUAAAAGCGUGCUUGUUUCAGCUUUUUCAUUUGUCGCAAAAUGCUUUUCAAUUUCGGCAAGGAACUCCUUAGAAUUAGUUAUACCUUAGGAUACUGUACCUCAAAAGGCUUCCGAAAUGCCGCGCUUAAUGAUCAUUACACUCAUGCGAUUUGUGUGAUCCCAUGUCUCAAAAUUUCUCUUUUCAUCAGGAGAACUUUCUUUCGUAAGAGGAGUGAGUUGCUCAAUCUGAAGUGCAAUGUCAAGAUCCAUGCAGCCAAGAAAAAUCAAUACGUUCUCCUUCGAAGCCUUGAAGUUUGUCCCUUUAAGCAUGGGAAUGGAAUUGAUAUUAGCAGAUAUUGUGGUAGCAGGUGAAUUAGCUAUAGAGAGAACAAAAAUAAAUAAAUAAUCAUGCUCAUAUCCAUAUUAAAUGAACAAUAAAUUCAAAUAAUGGUAAGUCUCAUCUCAAGAUACCUAGAGCAACAUUAAUACCAAGUCUUUGGACAGUAAUAUUAAUUGCUAAUGGUACUCUUAAUACAGUGAUCACUCCUGUCAAAUAAUGAAACCAUCUUUGGAUUGAUUUAUUAUUCACAUGGAAAUCUUAAAAUUGUCACAUAUUUACCACCGUAGGUGUGCAUGUAAUUCGGCCAAGUAUUAACCUUCCUUUAGGCUGAUUAAUACCCGCAUGAAGAAGCACACACGUCAUCUAAACAUCCCAAACAAGCCAAUCUACACAAAAGAGGUCACUUUGGUGAUAUAUUGUUUCAAUUAGUUUAUUCAAAAUGUUAGAUAACUUUAAUUCAUUAUAAAUGAUUUACCAAAUUAUUUUAAUUUGAUUGUCUCACAUAAUUAAACCUUAAUUAUUCCUCUUAAAAGAGUCCUUAGUACCUUAAUUUGAGAAAGACAAUAAUUAAUUUUGCAUUAUUAGAUGCCUUUAGAAACUAUAGCGACCUAAGGGUUAAUAAUUUAAAACUUUAGGGAUCAAAUUUUAAAAAAUUCAAAAUUUUGGGGGCCAAUGUUAAUUAAUUAUAAACAUUGAGGGCUUUAAUUGAAAAUUUCAGAACAUUAAUUGCCCAAAUUAAAUAAUUUUCAAAAUAUAAGGGUUGAAUUAUUAAACCCGUAACCUUAAAAUUCCAAUUUGGAUGGAUCAGAAACAUUGGGGACUGAAAUGUAAAUUUUUAUUUUGAAAAAAAUUCAUUAACCCUAAUUUAAAUUGCUAGCAAGGGGCUGAGAUUAUCAUAUUUGCACCUCAGGCCCCAUCCAAAAUCCAUCCUUGAAAAUCUCUCUCUCAAAUUAACAGCGCCGACGAUCAGCGCCGGUCAGGAGUAGGUAGGUCGGCGCCAACCGACAACAACACCGGGCGCUGCCGCAAAACUAAGCAGCUCGCUGCAAUUGUUGGCGACAUACCAGCCGCCGGCCAUAUAUAUAUAUAUAUUUGUUUUUUUUAAUCCAAAAAAAAUUGAAAAUCAGAAACUGAUUUUAAAUUUUUUUAACCCAGAUCUUGAUCCAGAAAAUCGAAUUACCCAAAAUUUACUUCCAGAUCUUGUAUAAUAAUCAUGAACAAUAUACAAAAUAAUGCUCUUGAUUCAACAAAUGACAGAUCCGAAAGAAUAACCAAAAAUAAUAUCCCAAACAACUUUCAAAUUCAACAAAAAUAUAUUCAAGGUUGUCAAAUCUGAAAAUUCUUAAACAAAUAUUGCAAGAUCUUGAUCCAAAAAAUUAAUCCGUAAUAUAAAACUGUAGUAACAUUAAAUCUUGCAAUUUCUCAAAGAAUUCAACAAUGGAGUGGCUUUGAUACCACUUGUAGUAAAUCGAAACGAACCAGAUUCUUGAAUCUCCAUGUUGGAAUCAAUGAGAAAAUAAAAUAAAUGUGGAAGCAUACCUUGAUCCAUAGAUAUGAGUUUUCUGAAAUUGAUUAUGAUCUUCCAACUGCUACAUGAUUUCUUGAAAUACGUUAUGUGUUGAUGGGGAUGCAGAGAAUUUUGAAAGUCACGUGUAAUUGGGGACCAUGACACUAUAUUAAAUAAUCGAUUAUUAUCUUUCAAUUAUUUUAAAUUGGCCCCUCAUCAAUUUAAAAUAAUUAUUCCGGUCUCUACACUUUAAUCCAACGAGAAUUAAUCCGUAAUAUAAAACUGUAGUAACAUUAAAUCUUGCAAUUUCUCAAAGAAUUCAACGAUGGAGCGGCUCUGAUACCACUUAUAGUAAAUCAAAACGAACCAGAUUCUUGAAUCUCCAUGUUGAAAUCAAUGAGAAAAUAAAAUAAAUGCGGAAGCAUGCCUUGAUCCAUAGAUCUGAGUUUUCUGAAAUAGAUUAUGAUCUUCCAACACUAGGUUUCACAUGGAACCGUCUAGUCUAUUUCAAUUAUGAGUAGAUGAGCCUUCUAAAACAAAAACAUGCGCAGAAACCAAUUGUACACUCAGCCCAAAGGAGGUGACUUAGUGAGAUCAAAACUCAUUGAUUCAUAAUGAAUAUUGAAAAAUGAUUGUAUGGCUCCAUUUUUGUGAAAAGAUGUUUUUAAUAGUGAUUUUUUGAGAAAGUGUAGUUAAAAAGUUAGAAAAAAUUUUAGGUGUACGUGCAAAAUUAUUUUACCUGAAGAAUGUACGAUUCAAAAUAAAGUUUGAGAAAAAAUGAAUAUUUACAUAAUUGGGCUCAAUAAUUGGAAAAAAAUUAAAAAAAAAAAUCAAUGUUUCACUUUAAUUUUAUCGAAGACAACUAGGGAUUACAAAUGUAGCCACUCCUUAAUUACUAAAUAAAGGUCAAACAAUUAAAAGAAAGACAAUAAUUAAAAAGUAACACUUGGUAAAAAUCAAAUGAAUAAAAUAUGGACCAUCCAUGAAACUCCAUAAUCCAUAGACUAAAAAUAGUAGUUUUUUUUCAUGUUAAUAUGGUUUUAUCAAAUUUCAAGUCGAAUACAGUUAUCCCCUACAAUGGUAAAUUUGGUCUCUAUUCAUUUCUGUACUUACUGGGUUUUUUGUUUUGUUGAAAUACUCAAUCUUAUCUCGUCGUUAAUUUGGACAAAACUUAUGCUUCAAUUAUUAAUCAAAUUUUGUAUACACUCCAAUUUAUGAAUUGUUAGUGCCUUAUUUCAAAUCGGGCGUGCCAAACAAGUUUGUUAAGAUUAGUUAAAUAUCUUGGGCCAAGUUAGUGGAUUCUUUGCUUUUAUUUAUUUUUAUGCGCACAAAAAUGACGACAGUCGAGAGAGAGAGAGAGAGAGAGAGAGAGAGAGAGAGAGAGAAGACAUGAAUUUGCGGAUACAAGAGGGACAUGAUUAUACAGGUAACAAAAAGGGGAAUACACACACACACAUAUAUACACAUAUAUAUAGUAAAUUACACCCGUAGUGGCAUGAUAGGGAGUUUUGGGGUAGGUUUUUAAAAGUAUUGACGGUUAAAUUACUUGUAAUUUAGCCCCCCUUUUUUUAACUGCAUAAUCAUGUGCGAGAGAGAUUUUUUCUUUUUUCUUUUUUUUUCUUUUUCGCUCUUCCCUAUGUCUUGUGUCCACAAAUUCGUGUCGUCUUUCUCUUCAUCCAGCCUGUAAUUAAAGCAAAGAAUUCUAAACUUCGCCCAAGAUCUUUAAUUAGUAUUAGCAAUCUUGUUUCGCACGCCCGAUUUGAAAUAAGGCACCAAUAAUUCAUAAAUUUAAAUUGUAUACAAAAUUCGAUUAAUAAUAGAAGCAUAAGUUUUGUCCAAAUUAACGAUGAGAUUGAGUGUUACAACAAAACAAAAUACCCAGUAAGUACAAAAAAUGAAUAGAGACCAAAACUACCAUUGUAGGGGAUAAUUGUAUUCGACAUGAAAUUUGAUAAUGUAUUGUGUGAAUUUUUGGUUGAAAAAUAAGAAUGAAAAAUAAAUUAUAGUGAAAUAAAUGGAAUCAAAUAGGGGCUUAAUAGAUAAUGAAAGAAAAUAAAUCCAUUAGAAAAUAUUGGCUAGCAUUAAUGUAGCUUCUCAUGGAAACUACUUGUUUAUCUUGAAAUCAUAGUUAUUAAACUCGGACUAGACUGGCCGGUCCGACCGGAAACUCGGUGAACCGGACCAUGGUCUGGUCCGAGUCUCAUGAGGGGACUAUUCAGCAUUCAAAUCGAUCUAUAACCGGAUGAAGCAGAAUAAAGAACUGGUAAACCGGUUUAAAUUAACUCGACAGUUUACUGUAAAUGACCCAAUUUCGAUGAAAUGGGGAAUUGAUCCCUUGAUUUUUAGCAAUCAACACUCGUUACGGACAAUUGGGAUACAAUUGGCAAUUGUCUUAAUGCUUCAUACUAUAAUAUAUAUCAUUUGUUUUCAAGAAUUUCAACCAUUCCACUAAACUUCUAUUGCUAAUAGAAUAACUUAAAAAUCUUUUAUAAUAUCAAUUGUACGUAAAAAUUUGGAAGAAGAUGUUCAUUAUUUUUGUGAAAUAUAAUAAACUAUUCAAGACUUCUUUAUUAUUUUUUUAAAAAAAUAAAAAAUAAUCGUCAUUCACAAAGUAUAACCCACAGUUAUUAAAAUCGGAUCAGUCGGCUUGUACCGAGAAUGGUUCAAACCUUGGCUUACAAGGUUAUAUUUCAUUUCCUCUGAGAAAUUUGUGAUCUUUGGUCAUAUAUCAGGAGUCAAACAUAUAUAUUUAGAUUUAGCAAAAUAGUUUUCCUUUUACUUCAAAAAUACAUUUUAAUUAAAAUUGUAAUUUAACAAUGACCCACCGGUUCAACCAUCGAGUCACCGGUUGAACCACUGACCCGAUGACCCUAUAAUUUUUUCGGGUCGACUAAUGGUCCAGGUUUAAUAACUAUGAUUGAAAUUCGUGAUAAAUUGAAAUAAAAAAUUGCUUCAUUUUUCAUUAAGGUAUAUAGAUAAUUUAAUAUCAAAUUUACCAUUUUUGUAAGAGAUCAAAAUUAGACACUUUUCAAUUGAUACGCAUGAGAUUAGACAUCAUUGUAAAUUUCCCUUUCUUUCCUCCUUAUUUCUGACACUAAAUUGACAAAAAUCUGUUAAAGUGAACUUGGAAUUUGUUGACGUUGAAUUGACAACAAAAUCUGUCGAAGUGAACUUGGAAAAGUCAAAGAUGCAUGGCUUUUGUUUGGAACAAUACGUGCUCACGUAUCAAGAUAGGGAUAAAAUCGGAAGUUGCCCAUAUACAUGCAUAACACCAUUUGGACUAGCUUUCACAUGGUGCACCAUGUGAUGUGAUAGAAGAAUACAUUUUUUCUACGGUAAUGGCGCGCAAACGAGGGUUAAAUUUUAAAGAUCAUUAUAUGGAUUGAAAUAAUUUUGGACGCAUGUGGUAUAAUUGUCUUAACGAAUAUUUGUUGAAGGGAUAUUAUAAAAAUGACGAUGUUUGGCCAUAUAUUUUCAUAAAGAAAACAAAUAUUGGAUUUACAAUUGUGGCAGUUUAUAUUGAUGAAUUAAAUUUAAUUGAAACUUCUGAAGAACUAAACAAAACUGUAUAAUAUUUGAAAAAUGAAUUUGAGAUGAAAGAUCUGGGAAAAACCUAAUUGUGUCUCGGAUUAUGGAUUGAACAUUUUUCAGAAAGAUUAUUUGUUUAUCAAUCUACUUAUAUAGAAAAAAUAUUUAAGCACUUUUAUAUGGAUAAUGCACAUCCAAUGGAAUCAAGGUUGUUCAAUCACUCGAUGUGAAAAAAUAUCAAUUUCAUCCACUUGAAGAUGGAAAAAAAAUUUAUUGGUCCCGAAAUACUAUAUCUUAAUGCAAUUAAAGUAUUAACUUAUCUUGCAAAUUGCACUCAACCCGACAUAACCUUUUUUUUUUUUUUUUUUGUCUUCAUACAAGAUACAGCUUAACACUAACUCAAAGAUAUUGAAAUAGUGUUGAACAUAUUUUUUGUUAGCUAAAGGGCACUAUUGAUUUUGGAUUAUUUUAUUUUCAAAAGUCGAAAUCUACUUUAAUUUGAUAUGCUGAUACAGGUUAUCUCUUUGGCCCACAUAAAGCUAAAUUACAAAUAAGAUAUAUGUUUACGCAUUGAGAAACAGUCAUAUCAUGGAGAUAUAUGAUGCAAUUCUUGAUAGCAUCAAAGGAUAUAAUAUAAAGAAUUAAUGAACCUCGCGAUGAAGAUGGGUUUGUCGGUUGUAGUGGAGGUGGUGGAGAUACUGGAGCAAGUUUCAAGUUAGGAUUAUUGUUGAAACUGGAAGAUAGGAACUCGGGAAUCAGAACAAGACCUCAAUGAUUGAUUUAGUCUAGCAUAGAAAAGACAGAAGUAAUUGCACUAAAAUUGAUGGACCAAGCUGUGUGCACAGCAUGACACAUAGCUCGGUUCACAGCACUCUCACAUCGGGGGUAGUGCCAAUAAAUAUAUGGCGCGAGCCCCACAGCACAGUGAGGGUGCUGUACAAUCAGUUUUAUCUAAACUCGAUAGGUGUGAAAAGUUGAAAGGAGUCAUUGAUUGGAACCGUCCCUGAUAAAUUGUUAUUUGACAGAUCACUGUAUUCAUACAUGAAAAUGAUUAUUAGUCUGCCAAAAACAAGAAGCAAAGAAAACCACCAGUGAUAAAAUAAAAUCUAUUAAUCCUCUGCUUACAGGACUUGAAGGGUAGUGAUGUUGGUCAGAGACAUAGGAAUAGUUCCAGUCAAAGUGUUAUUGUUGAGCCUCCUAUGUAGUCAAUAAACACACACAAUUAGGUUUUGAAGAAUCUGAGCAAUUAAUUACAUAAAAAACAGCUUAUCCAAAGUAAUCUGAAAAUUUCUCAAUAAUUAGGAAUGAACCUAAUCAGAGGGAGCUGAUGCAUUAAUACCCUCUUCACAUAUAAUUUGUCUAUUGGGCAUUAAUAUUGUAGGAGCUGAAAGAUUCUCGCAUUGUCCAAUUUUUCACUUGGUAAAUUGUAGGGGCAUGAUAAUUGUAGCAAUUCUCAAGAGACAGAACAAAAUUACUUUCAAAGAAGAGAAAAAUAUAGGAAAAACAAUUAGGAACUCUUCACAGUGUUCAUAUUGGGGCUUUCAUAAACAACUAUCUAAGGCCAAUUUGUAACCUUUCUCAAUGGCAAAAUCUUCAAUUAAAGAAAAGGAAAGAGACCAAAAAAUAUAUAUUUAUAUAAGAAACCAAAAAGUCGUAUCACGUAUAGGAAACGUAAUCUCUGAAGCUAGCCCAAGGUCGUGAGGAUGGGACCACUAAAACUGUUCGCGUAAAGACCAAGCUCACCAAGUUUGAUAAGUUCCCAAGAUCAAUUGGAAUUCCUCCACUUAUGUUGUUACUGGAAAGUUCCCGGCCAUAUACAUAUCAAAAAAAAUAAAAAAGGAGACGUACACAAAGGUUAAGAUGAUAAUAUAUAAAUUAAGCCCUUGUUUGAGCCCUUUUUUUUGGGAUUAAAAGAAUUUAGAGUAGUGAUUUUUUGGACAAAAUGAGUUUUGGAAAAAUAGAGCUCGAACAAGGGCUAAAUAUCACUAAUAAAAAGAGCAUCUUGCAAAAAUUAUUGGUGCAGAGAAGUAGACAUGUAAAUUUAAGGUCUCUCAAAUGUCUAAUACGUGAGGUAGCUAAUAUUCAGACUACGGAUCAACGAAUAAAAUGCUUUAACAGCAUUACAGUUUAGAGAAACAAAUAAAUUUCUAAAUAUAUAAUUAAAGCAAUAAUUGGUUAACUAUAACUCCGAACAAUAUGUUUCAUAAAAGUAGGUUGUUUGAUGCAAACUUGUUUCUUUUAAUAUUGUGUGAUAUUAUAAAGUUUAUCUUACGAGAUUAUUCAUAAAGUAUGAUUACGUUCUUCUAAUAUCCCACUAAUUUUCUCCGGGUGCUUGUUAAUCAUCGCCCGAGUGCAGUAAUUAGAUAAACAACAAAUUUACGAUCAUUUUUUGGCUAAUUUUGGUGUGAUAUAUUAAAAUUUGAAGGUCAAAUUUGAUAGGUUGGGCUAAAUAGAAUGAUUGAAUACUAUUAUGAAAAAACUAAAUUUUGUUGCCACUCGGAAAAGAAAGAUGAUCAACUUGAAUUUCACAAUUGAAACUUUUAGAGAGCAUUCAAUUAAGUCAUUAUGCUAAUCAUAAUCAUUGAAUCUACCUUAAAUUAAGGUCAAAAAGUAAAAAAGUAUAAUCACCAGAUUUGGUGGGUAAUUAUUUUUGCUUUUUCAGUAAAUUGACAUGGGGAAAGAUACAUUUUUAUGUAUACCCUGCAAAAUUGUAAAUAUAAGCACAGUGUCCCAAGAAUAUUUUCCAGCAAAGUACAACAAAGCUUCGUCCUUCAAUAAUUAAAUUAAUGUGUACACUGAAUAAUACUAGAUAGGAGAGAUUUUGAUAAGAACUUUUAGCUUAAUACAUAACACGUUAUCACAAGUCAUAACUAUGGCCUAAUCUUGUAAAAAGACUUGGAUAUAUAAAAAAUGAUCUAAAUCAACUCAUGGUAAUAAUUUUAAUAUCGAUCUCACAUAUUAUUAGUCUAAUAUAUUUAGAUAAAUAGAAAAAUGCAAGAGUGAGACAAGAUUUGGUGAUUACACUAACUUUUUAUAUUUGGACUAAAAUUGGACUAUACCUCAAAAAUAAAAAUAAAAAAUUCACAAUUUUUCCCAAUUCCCAUAAAUGAUCAAACAAAAAAAGGUUGAAUUCCAAUCUUGAGGGCCCCCAACGCCCUGCCCCUGAAGCAUCGUGAAGAAGGUAAAUCGCAGGAUGUGCCCCAACAAGUUAGGGAACAAGAUCUUACCUAUACACUGAUGCCCACAAAGAGUCAAAUUUUAUAUCUCAGCAAUCGAACCCUCACACUACGACUGCCAGCACGAUUAAGACUAUCUCACUCCUGUCUUUUGCACCACUGAGUUAUGUCCCCGAGGGCAAAGAUCAAACAAAGUUACAUGCAUUGAUUGUUUUUACACAGUACAUUACAAAUACCACUUGUCCUUUUCAUCAUCAUUUGAGGAAAGGGACAGAACACGGGAAAUUAAACCCUUUUUAGCUUCCUUUUUUUUUUUUUUUUUUUUUUUUUUGUAAUACGGUGAUUAAAGAAUGUAAAAUGUCAGUGAAGGGAUAAAAAUAUGUAAGAAAUAUUCAAAUAUUUCAUCUCUCAUCUGUAGGUCGAAAAAUGUAUAAUGUGAAUCCAUAGUAAGUGAUACAGACAAGAGUGUAAACAAAUCAACAAGAAGGUAGUGGAAAAAUGUGAAUGACAUGAUUAUGUUUUUCAAAGCAUGACUUACAAGUACUGCAAAUUCGGGAGCAGAUCGAGCACCAGAACCAGUUGACUGGACAAAUUUACGUUUCCGAGAUCACUGAGCGUACACAAAAAUAAUUUCCAUAAUUCGAGGAUCAUGUUAAUACUAAAAUGCAACUCGUGUAGCUAAUUAUGGAAAGGACAAAUCAGUUUCACACUCUAGUAACACUAUUGUCACUGUUGCAUGUAAUAUGAAACCAAGUGCAAUGAUUGACGAGUGUAGAAUCCCAGCUCUGAAGAACGUUGUUAGGAUCUGCCAAGUUUGUCUUAAAAGCAUUCAAGGCAUCGCCUGUUGCGCGUAAAUCAGUUAGCAAAUAUCGAUGACCAUUUUCUUUACAAAUUUAAGUUAAGCUACUACCGAACAAAUCUACACAUUUAUUUGCAAGGCCAACAAAAUAUGAGUUCACUAGUUUAUGAAAAUUCGCCUCAGACGCACCGCACAAAUGUUUUUCUUCAUUGUUACAAUGGUCAAGUCAAGUCAACAGUUAAACUUUCCUGAGCAGAACAAAAAAGGAGGAAAUUUUCCAAAGUUACAGCUAAGAACGAAUCCCCCAACUUUGUAAAUGGAAACUUAAUAGGUCUUCAAUCUAUGAUUUGAGUUUACAAUAAACAAGAAACAGGCUGGAAACAUAUCAAUUGCAAUACAGUCAAACUCAAUUGAAGCAUAAAAAUCACUUCAGUUGAAAUACAAAACAGAAGAACAGACGUUCAACGUUGCCAGAAACCCGUGAAAAUUGCGAAAUCCCGAAAAUUAAGGAGAGAAACUCAGAGAUUGUGAUUGCAAACACCGACUACUCCAUUAUCAUUUCACCCCAACCUAUCACUUAAAAACCUAGAUUCCACAUUAAAAACCUAUAUGUUUCCCCAGUCCCCACUACUAUACUAAACUAUGCAGUAAUUGAAAGGAACCAAAAUAUUACCAAAUCCUUUCACAAAAAAUACAUAAAUCCUCCAUGUUGAAAUCAAAGAGAAGAUUAAAAGUAGAAGCAUACCUUGAUCUAUAGAUGUGAGCGUUUUCAACAGGUUAUGAUCUUCCAAUUGUUACUUAAUUCCCUUGGAAAUUUUUCGCUGUUGAUGGAGAUACAGAGAGAGAUGAAAAUCACGUGUACAAGGAGAAAUCUCAGUUAAGUUUCUCCUUCAACAUAAGCUGUUAUUGUUAAUUUCCUUAAGAUCUUUGAGGCUUGAAGAUUUUGUCCUGAUGAUUUCUGGUAAACUCAAGUCCAAAAUAGGUGAUGUCCUCAUCAAACUCUCAGUUAUAUUAAUCGAAUUCUUUCCUUGUAUUUGUUGAUUGUUUGGUUAGAGAAGAUUUUCUCAUAAAAAUAAGCCUCUCAAAAAUGGUUGAUGAAACUUGUACCUCCACUUCAUUGGCCAAAUGAUUAUAUGCCCUCUUUCGUAAUAAGGCCAUCACACUGCACUUUCUUAUGGGUUUGCCAGAUCAACAACAAUGAAAAUGUGUUGUUUGGUACCAUCAGGAUAGAAACGUGUUUUUGGUGAAAUGCUGCCUUAUUAUUUUUCUUUCUAUCUUUUGUAUAUCAUCAGCUGAUUGUGAGAAUAUAGGCACUAAACCUUUGUAUAUAUUUCUGGCAUUCCCUAAUAUUUAACCAACUCAUGACAAUAAUUUGCAGUUCGGAUUCAUGGGAUGUGUUGUUCUGCAACCUGUUGGAAAAUUUGGAAUAAUUAGUUGGUCUGACCAACUUUAGACCAAUUAUUUAGUGGGUCCUGUUAGUUGGAUAAAUGAUUUCUUUGGCUAAGUGCAUCCUACUCCAUGAGUAUAAUUGAUAUAUGUAUUUUUUUUUCAAAACUAAUUAAGGGUGAAUGAGAAAUUAAAUCCAAAAUAGGAUAACUUGAAGUUGAAAUAAAUUGGAAAUAAAAAAUUGGUGGGAAAUUGGAAAGUUUCAAUCCCACGUAGGAAAACUAGAAGAAUAGAAACCACUUUAUAUCGCUCAACUUUGGGAUUUGCGUUUGGGCCCUAAGGUGCGCCACUAGUCUUUGAAUGGAAGAGAACCUACAUGCUAGUAGGUUGAGCUAAAGCCCACACGCGUCCAUCAUGACCGUUCGAUCGGCCGGCUCAACACGCGCACAGGUCGUAGACGUGGGCAUGGGCCCAGUUAGUAUAUAUAUUUUUGGUACAAUAAUAUUUUAAUUAUAUUAUUUUAUUAAAUUAAAUAAUAUAUUUUAAUUAUAUUAUUUUUUCACUAGAUUUUUUGUGUGCAACACGUGGCUUCUUCUAUAAUUGACGGUUACUGAUAGUUUUAAUUGCCUAUCCAAACGAGUUGUGUCUGUUUCAAGACACAACUUUUCGAUUGUUGUGUCUUUUGGGCAUAACCUUUCAACUUCUAUAAAUAGACCCCCAUAUCCCCGUUUUUGUUCAUUCCAAAAAAAUUUUCUACGUUAUAUUAUUUUUUCCCCAGAAUUUUUUGUUCGCGAAACGUGGCUUCUUCUAGAACUGAUUAUUGCUAACAAUUUUAACUGCCUGUCCAAACGAGUGUGUCUGUUCCAAGACACAACUUUUCGACUGUUGUGUCUUUUGGGCAUAACCUUUCAACUUCUAUAAAUAGAUCCCCAUUUUUUUUCAUUCCAAAAAUUUUUCUACUUUUCUCUCGCAAAAUACUGUCAUUCCAUCCUGCAGUAUUCCAUAUUUUUAUUUCAGUCCAAAAUAAUAAUUUUGUACAUUUUAGUCCUUUGAUUUUGGAGAGAUCAAAAUAUUAGUAGGUUCGUCGAAUUUUGUAAUUUAGAGUGCUACUAUUACAAGUUGAGGUCGUUGUAUCUUGAGAGACGAAUGCCAAGAGACCAUCAGCACCAGUGCGGGGCAUUGUCGCUUUAAGAAGAAAGAGUCGAACUCUUAUCUCGACCAUUAUCAUUCUAAUUUUAUUACGCUCAUUUUGUAAGUAGAAAUUCUGCCAAAGUGUUUAUUCGCUACUUAUUUAUAUAAAUUAUUGCAUGGCAUUCUCAAAAUUUCUUCAACACAACCAUGGUUUGAGAAUAAUUUUAUCUGUACCGAAUUGAGGGUACGAAAAAGUUGUCCCCCCUCUCACAAAGCAAGCGGGUCCCACGUGAAUAUAAAAAUUCCCAAAUAUGGUCCCCACCCUCUAUAGUAAGUAGUAGGUAAAGUAAUAUGUUAUAAAAUCAUGUACAUGUAGCAUUGUCCAUGAUUUAAUACUCUUCCUUAAAUUCUCAUUGUCCCUCUUUCGCGACAUUCUCUGCAACAUUUUUAUUGAUUGAAUGCCAAUAGACUUUCUAAGAUUUACUAGCUAUUUUCUUUAAUUUAUGUCAUCAUUACAUGGUUAAUUGGUUUUUGGGAUAUGACAGGCUGAGUUCAAGAGAGUUGUUUCACCCUUGAAGUACCAGACAAGGUAUUUAGCUGAUUUCCCAGUCAGCAAGGUUUCUUAGUAAGUUCUAUCUGACUCUCUGUGACUUGAGUUUAUUCUGUGGAUUAUUUUUAAUCUGCUGCAGUGUUUUGUCAUGUGACGUUCUUAUCUUGUAUUGGUUACACAUAUUUUGCCAGCUUGAUUUAAAAUGUAGCUUCUCAAGUUGUGCCGUUCAUAGAUACUAGAAGAUCUUUAAAUAUUUUUUAUGCAUAUACUUAAUUGAAUACCUCUUGCUUGAUUAUAGCUAGAAUGGGAGUUCUGCAGGAACAAGUACUGACAUUAUCAAGGAUAGUAAACUGAAAUUCGGGGAUACUUCCAUUUGUAUGCAAAUUUGAGAUUCUCGGUGUUUGAUUGAUAAGUGAACGAACAGUGAGAAGUAGAAUUUCAAAAUAAUUUGGAUGAAUAGAUUUGAUGUCAAGGAUUGCAAUUAAGUCUUAUAUGUACUACUUUGGCAAACUUCCUUAUGAAUCAAAUAUAUGCAAGGAAAUAGCAAGCACACUUGCUGCUUAACCUACCUGGUUUCCACUUCACAUUGUACUAGAUACUUUUGAGCCUUUUGUAGAUUCUGAUAUUUUCCACAUUCAUUUCUUGAACUUACAAAAAGAAAUUGCAGAGGGAGAUCUCUGCACUUUGGCAGUCCUAAGAGAAGAUAGAAGAUUGUCUCUUAAUCUCUCUGGUGUUAUUUGCUUUCUCUCUUCCGUGCAGCAUUGCAGGGUUUAAUUUUUAAUAUGAUAACAAUUGUGGGUGUUUUGCCUCUUUGAUUUGUGAAGAAAUGUUUUUUUUUUUAAAUAAUUUUUUCUUAUUUGUAGAGAAAUGUGCAGUAGUCUUCUUAAAUAUCUAAAUACAAAGAGGAAAAGGAUGCAUGUCAUUGGAGCUUGCUGUCAUCCCUCUUGCUCCAUCCUCCCAUUAAUUUUUACUUCUUUUCCUUCUUUCAUUUUCAUUCUUUUCGGUUUUUUUUGUGUGAUGUGGAGGGAUAGAAAUUGUUAGCGUCUUAAACUUUCUAGCAAGUCGGAUUCUGGAUUUUGCUUGUAUCUUCUUGAGUUUAUGUCGGUGAACAUGUAUUGUGUAUACCUAAAUCAUUAGUGUUGUAUGCUAAAGUUUAUUCAGCCAACAUAGUCCGCAAGCUUUCAGAAAAGAAAGUAUAAAAACUUUCUUGGGACUAGGCAACCAUAGCUCGGUUUGUGGAUGGAAUAUGUAUCCUUUACCUAAAGUUGAUCUUUUGGUUUUUUUUGAAGCACUAUCUAGAGAGAGCACCUUUUUAAGUUUUAUAAUUGAAAUAAAAGCAGAAUUUUUCUGUGCAUUUUUAGCAUUUCAUGAGAUCAACAAAUGGGAAGAAAAAUAAUGAGGUGGAAUCUCUUAACGGCCUCUUGUUAGAUGGAGAAUCAUUCUAUUUUUUCUUCUUAUGUGAUUACCGUCAAGAAUUGUGGGUCUGAAAAUAAUUAUUAUUUUUCCUUAGUUUUGUCUGUAUGUUUACCAAUCUGGUAUCUUAAGUAGUAUUGAAUUAUAACUUCACUAAAUUGUCGAGAAUCAAAUCUUAAAUUCAUGGCUAAUUGUAUGCUUAUCUAUAUGGGGUUCAUAAAUUUCUAAUUAUCUCCAACUUCUAAAAGAUUUAUUUAAUCAGUUUAGCUUUUAUGUUAAGAGGUUCUUACUUCCUAAUUAUUCUCAUUGACUACUUCCCAAAUUAUGAUCUCAAUGCUACAAGAAUUUUAUGUUAUUGUGCUAAAAAGUUUGAUAGAAUUCGUGUUUCUUUAUUGAUGACCUGGAUCUUAUACUCUAUGCCUUGUCUCAGAUACAUUACACAUUUGCAACGUUUGGAUCUGAUGGAGCCUUCAACUUUUGGGACAAGGACAACAAACAGAGGCUUAAGGUAUUAUGGAAUCCUUCUUGUCAAGUCUUGGAAAUGCUUGGAGUUAUCAUUGUAUUCUCAAUUGCAUUGUUUCGCAUGCUCAUGAGUGUUCAUCUUUUCACUGUGUUUCUUAGGCUAUGUCAAGGUGCAGUGAGCCCAUCCUUGCAGCACUUUCAACAACGAUGGCUCCAUUUUUAUGCAUAUUCGGUGAGCCUUUGUUAACAUGUCUAAAUAUAUAUUAUCUGAUGUUCAUCAUUUUCUAAAUCAUAUUAUUAUUAGGGAUUGUUGUUUCCUAGAGAAGAUUGGUGCAUAGAAAGAUAUUUUCUAUGAUGUUGCAUCAUUGUUUUAUGUCUGCAAUCAUGAGAUGGAUAUUUCUUUUACUUCCACUGCAAUCAGCUUGAGGAAGUUCUAACAAUUUGUGUGGAUGCUGAAUUUUUUUAACGAUUAUAAUCCUCAUUAAUCUUUCUCAAUAUAACUAACCAGAAAACUUUCAGAUGAGUUACUGGGCUGUCCUAACUCCGAAAUUAUCUUCUUUUCUGAAAAUUUUGCCUGAAUAUUUUGUUUUCAGGUUGUUAUGAUUGGAGCAAGGGUGCAGAAAAUCACAAUCCGGCAACAGCAAAACCACAUAUCUACGUGCAUUUACCACAGGUCCUUUUCUUAACUUUUUGAAUCUAUUUUUGGAAACGUUUUACCUUUGACAUUAGAGGUGCUUUAAAUCCUGAACACACUAUGUUUUGUUGUUUGAGCAGGAGGCUGAAGUCAAAGGCAAACCAAGGAUUGGAACAGGAGGUAGAAAGUGAAUCUUGUCAUCCUAGUUUGGAGAAGGGAAAUUUGGAGAUGUGGCCAAAUCUGAAGGGUGGAUUUGAAAUGAGUCUACUUUUAAAAACUUCAAAAAUGGCCACUUUUUUAUGCAAAAUGUCAUAGAUGCCCUUCUGUAAAAGUGGCCACUUCUUCGUAUGCUCAAGAUUUCAUAGUACUUUGUAGUUGGUGUACAAAUUUUGAGAGUAACAUAUUAGUUUCCAAGAGAAGUUGUUAGAUGCAAUUUUCCAUAGGAUAACAUCAGUUAGUACCAAAAUAAUAAUAAUAAUAAUAAAUUAAAUUAAAAUAUAUAUAUAUAUAUAUAUAUCAUCUUUCUUGAUGUUUGAACUAUAUUUUCAACUAUAAUAAUCUCUUUUUUUUGGGGCAAAAGUAUGUAGUUAUUUACAAAAAAAGUUAGAAUCCUUGAACAUGGAGUUACACGUUUCUUGAAAAUCAUCUUUUUUUCUCCAAAUACAAAAAAGGACAAAAACUCUAAACCCACGCUUUUUAUAUAUUACAAUGGUGCAUUGUUCUAAAAAGCGUAAAACGUGAUCAGGCGUGAAGUCGAAGCUUCAAGCUUUAUGAGCUUAAGCGAGCCUAGGUGAGGUUUUAGCUUAAAAAAAAUGUUUUUUAAUUUAUAAUAUUAUUUUAAAUUUUUAGUCAUUUUAAAAAUUUAUUGAAUAAUUAAAAUAAUACAUAUUAAACAUCUAAAAUUAUCAAAAACAAUAUUUACUUAAUAGCUCCUACCAUUAGUCAAUUAUACAAUUUUCAUGUUUUUGAAAUGUAAAAUUAGAAUAUUUUUCAUAGUUUCAAUUUUUAAGUAGACAAGUCCUACUUAGCACCUAUUUGAGGGGCAUUAUUUCCUCAUAAAAAUGGCUUUUUGACCAUUGGUGUACAAUCUUCCAAGACUUGGUGAGAUGCAAGUCAAAAAUAAGGGCUGUAUGGGAUCUAAUAACGGUUGGAUUUCUUUUGAAAAUGAGAAAAUAAUGCCCCUCAAACAGGAGCUUAAUAGAUUUAUAGGAACUUCAUACAUACUUUUGAAAUUUGUAAUAAAAUGAGUCUAAAGAUCGUACUUAAUAUAUUUAUGGGAACUUCAUACAUGCUUUCGGAGUUAAUAUUAAAAUGAGUCUCAAGACCGUAAUUACAUAAUGUAGAUAAUACCAAAACUUAAAUCUUAUUUAACUAUUUAGAUAAAGUCAUUUUUAACUUUUGUACAGAUAAAAUCUUUUAAAAACUUGAAAUUAAAGCCAAAUGACAAGUUUAAAAAAAUAAUAAUAAUAAUAAUAAAAGCUAAAGUCAAUUAGUCAAAUAAAAGAAUUUUAAAAAAAGACUAAUAAAGCAUGUCUACAAAUGACGAAAGAAAUGAAGGAAAAAAUUCAACCAUUUAGAAUUUGGAAGGAAAAAAAGUGUCUAAACGUGAAAGAGUCGUUUUGCCCAAGCUUUUAGAACAUUGCAAUGGUGACAUUCAAGAAAUUGUAUUGGUGAAUUAUAGAAUUUGACGUUUUGAAUGGUAGAAUUCUACAAAUAACACAGAAUUUUACAAUUUUACAAUUCAACUGUUAAUUGUAGAAUUCAAUGAUUCUUCAAUAACAUUAGUUAGAUUUAUGUUAACAGAAAAUUGAGAAGAGAGAAUGGAGCUUGGUCUAAGUUGAUUCUUGAUAUGUUUAGGACUUUUUGCAUCUAGGAUUUUGUAAGCAGUGUUGGGCAAGGCGGAGAGAGACAAAAAUGAAAGGAUGAUUUUUGAGUCUGAGAAAAAAGUUGAGGGAUUUAGGAGAGAAGGUGUUUAAAAAAAACUGAGAUUUGGCAUUGGAAUUUGACUUUUUGGUAUUCUUGAAUCUGAUUCCUAUCGUAUUGGAGUUAUCCUUUCAAUUUUGAUUUAAAAAAUAACAAUAAAUAAAUCUUUAUAUCAUUUAUGUCCGUUGGUCCUUUUCAUCUUUUAUUUUUUUGAUUGAAGUCUCGAACCUUUAAAUUAAUAUGUAAUGCGAGGUCCUUUGAACGGUUUCACUAAAAAGACCGUUAUUGACUUACAAGUUACAUAUUCACCAAUAUUUGACCAGUUUAAAGAGGAUCUUUGCAUCUUUUCUCGUUUAAAACAAUUAAAAUAUUUCAAAAAGAAUGGGAGAAAGGGGCCUAAAUAAAAAAAAUUAAAAAAUGUGUAACAAAAUGAUUUCUUCUCCACCUAUCCCCCCAUGCCGCCGUAGCCGCCGCCGUCGCCCACUCUUGAACGAAUCAAUCAAUUAAUGCAAGAAGAAAACCAUUUUCUUUGUUUUUUAAUUUUUUUGUUUAUACAUUUUUAUUUCUUUUAUUUCUCCUUUUUGAAACAUUUUAAUAAAUGAGAUAAUACAUAAAGUGUUGUAAAAUGGUAAGUUUAUUAUUAAAUGACAAAUGUACUCCUACAAUUCUAAAAAUUACUUUCAUUGUAUCCCUGAUUCUUACCUAUAAAUAUAGGACUUUUAUUCUUUAACAUACUAAAAUUUAUUGACUUUCGUUCUCUCUUCUCUUUUUAUCUCUUUUUAUAACACGUUAUAAGCACGAAAGUUUAAUUCUCCAAAGUUUAAUGAAUGUAAUAAUUUUUUAAGCAUAAUUAUCUAUUUUAUGUACCAAAAUUAAUUUGGUUACAUGUGAAUUUUUUUUUCAUACAACACACAAAUUUGUAAGGCUGGGCAAAUCUCCCGAACCGAACCGAACCCGAAUUGAACCGAACCGAACCCGACAGUUCUUGUCAAAUUAAAUACCCGAACGGGUAUCUGAAUUGAGAACCGACAGGUACGGUUCGGUUCUCGAUUCUAGACCAAGAACCGAAAAACCGAAUAAGAACCGAAUAUUUCUAAUUUUUUUUAUAUUGAGUAAAUCAAAUUAUUUUAAUUUUAAUUUUUUCUAAACAAAUUAAUGAUUUCUAAAUUCAAAUUUUUGGCCAAAUAAUUUGUUUCAUUUCUAAUUUUUUAAUUUUUGGCCCAAUUACCCAUUUUAUUGUUUCAUUUCUUAGCCAAACAAGAUCAAAUCCACUAAAUAACCCUAAACACCAACACUAAAGUGCAUAACGUUGUCUUGACUCUCGCACUCACUCUCGCAGCCUCGCUAAUAUUCCAAAACCUAUACAAUCAUCAGCCGACACUGUGACCUCCGAUCGAAGCUAUGACCUUCGCCAACCGAAGCUUUGAUCGUAACGAUCAUUUGAACAAGGUAGUUUACCAGUCUCUGACAUUCCAAAACCAUUGAAUGUAUCAUUAGUUGUAUUUAUAUAAUGUUGUUAUAAAUGUUAAAAAAAUUUAAUUAUAGUACAGAACCGAACGGACCCGAACCGAACCGAACAGAACCGAACUCGAACGGUUCUAUAAUUAUAUUUGGACCCGACGGUUCCAUUUACUAGAUACCCGAAAAGUUCGGUUCGGUUCGAUUUUAAAGAGAACCGAACCGAACCGACCCGCGCCCACCCCUACAAAUUUGUGUGCAUCUAAACCUUUUGCCAUAAUAUUCAUGUACAAUCAUACGUAUAGCUAACACCUUCAAGCUGUAACCAUCCGCUUCAAUCAAUUUGGAUUUAUCAAUUUAUUUGCAUCAUCAUAUGUUUCUUAUAUUCAUUAUUUUCUACAGCUGCCGCAAUAACCCUGAUUUUGAUUCUUGCGUGCCGUUUGCCUAUAUCAAUUAAUUAAUUAUAUUUUCCUUUAAUCUUGCUACAACCAUUUACAUGUGUUUGUCGAAAUCAAUUUAUGUUUGAAGUUUUUUUUGCAUGUUUGGUAAUUAAUAAGUUUAUAUCAUGUCUAUGUGGUAAUUAUUAUUUUUAAUCCGGUUAAACAUUUUUAGAUGUUCUUCUAUAAAUUUUAAGUUGAUAAUUUAUCAUAUUGUUACUCCUAAAAUAACACAAUAUUAUAAUUAAUAUUAUUGAAGAAUAUUACUUUCUCCUAAAGAGUAUAAAUUAUAAUUUUUAAUAUUUCAGAAGAAUAUUGGUUUAUUGCUUUUGAAGAAGCAAUAAUAAAAUGCAACGUGCUUUCAAAGUAGUACAACUUUAUGAUUAAUAUUAUUGAAGAAUAUUACUUGUUCCAAAAAAUUAUAAAUUAUAAUUAUCAAUAUUCCAAAAUAAUAAUGACAUAUUGCUCCUGGAGAAGCAAUAGUAAAAUAUAACUUACUCUCAAAGUAGCACAUGUUUUGAAGAAUAUAUUAUUUUAAAUCAGUGUUUAAUGUUUAUCCCUGAAAAAACUCGUAGCUUAUGUCAUCUUGAUAUUAAUUGAUUAACUAUGAUGUGAUGUUUAAUUAUAUUUUUUGAAACAAAUUGUAUUUUCUUUAUUGUGCAGUUAAUCAAAUUGCAAAUAUUACAAAACUUGUGUUUGUUGCACUUGACAUAUCUGACAAAAAAUAUCUAUCCUUGAAGUUGACAUUCAUCUUGUCUCAAAAGAUUUGUGAGAGACAAUAAAAGAGAGAAACAAAUAAUCCUUGCAAGAUCGUACAAAAACACUCAUCUUCUUUCAUCAUCAUCUUCAUGAUGGAUUAAAAAUUGAAUAUCUCACGUAGAAAGAUCCAGAAUCCUCUAUAAAUGAAUGCACAUUCGUUUGCAAAACUUUAAAACUGUUAGUGAGUAUCAUUUUGAACAGUUCAAAAUAUUUCAAAAUUAAUUGUGGAGAAAAAAUCACUGGUGAAAAUAUGUUGGAGAAAACAUUUUCCACCAUUCAAUCCUCGAAUAUGCUCUUCCAGAGCAAUAUUGUGAGCGUGGUUUCAUAAGGUACUCUAAACUCAUAUCUUGCAUGCUUGUAGCCGAACAAAAUAAUGAACUGUCGAUGAAAAAUCAUGGAUUAUAUCUAACUAGUUUUGUACCAUUGACUGAAGCAAAUGAUACUCGUAGCCUAAAGCAAAUGCAAUAUCAAGACAAAGACGUGGAUGUGUACGUGAAAUAAGUCAUAGACGAAAUAAUCAACAAAGCUAUCAACAACAAGGCAACAAUUGUAAAAGGCACAAACAAAACAAAACAAAAGUAGCACAUCCAAAAAGGAGCAUGAAAAAGUUGUUUUAGAUGUGAAAUGAAAGGGCAUUGGACACGUAGCUAUCGUACGACAAAAUAUUUUGUGGAUCUUUACAAAAAAAUCAAUCAAGAAAAAGGAAAUAAUGGGAACGAAUUUUACUGAUUAUGAUGGUCUCAUUAACAUAAUUGAUUUGGAUGUUUUUUAUUUCUUUGCUGAUCCAAAUAGAAAUAUUGAUAAUUUGAUUGGGAGUGGUGUGAUGGAAGAUAUAGAUUAGUUUAUUUCCUAUGUCUCUAGUAUUUUCCUUUAUUUUAUUUCAAAAAAAAAAUUGAAACUUUACUAUGCUUCGUCAAUUUCACAGUAUUGAAUUAUGUUUACCAUUUUAAAUUUAGAUUCAAGCUUUUAAAUAUAUCUAUUUUGUUAUAUUAUAGAUUCAUGAUGGAUUGUUAAGAUACUUGCUUGAUUGAUAUUGCAACUAUACAUACCAUUUUUCAAGAAAAAAAAAUAUUUUUUGAACUUAAAAUUAGCAGAAAAUAAUUUAAUAUGAUAUCACGUGCAUCAUAUAUUGUUGAAGGCUCCAGAUGAGUUUGUAUUAUUUUAUUAAAGAAUACAAAAUUAUAUAUUGACGAUACACUUUAUUCUAGCAAAUCCAAAAGAAAUUUGCUUAGCCUCUAUUUGAGCCACAUUAUAUUCAUAAGAAUACAUUUUUGAAUAGUGUAUUGAUGGAAAAUGUGUGGUUAAAAAAUAAAGAAAAAAAUUGGAUUUAAGUGUAAUAUUAUUUUAUUGAAGAAUGUGAAAUUGAAAUGAUGUCAAAUCACUAUUUAAGAAUAUAUUUUUUUGAAAAAAUGUGGCUCAAACAUAGCCUUAGUUUUAAAGAUAUCCGCAACAAUGGAUAUCACAUUGAGAUUAUAUAAGAAAAUAAUAUUAAAUAUCUUUGUAUAACUUCUUUUGUAUAUGGAAAGAAGCGGAGAAAAGAAAAACUUCAUGCACUUAUAUCUGGCAUGUAUUAUACAUUUAUAAAAAUGUUGAAUCAAAUAUUAUAAUGAACCAGAAGUUCGUUGAUCCAAAAAAAUUUAUACUUUGAUAUGAUCGACUAGGCCAUCAAGGAGCUAUAAUGAUGGGUCGAAUAAUAAACAACUUAUAUAAACAUCUUUUAAAGAAUCAUCAGAUUCUUUUACCUAAUAAUUAUCCACGUGUUGCUUGUUUGUAAAGUAAGUUAGUCAUUAGACCUUCGACUAUAAAAGUCAAUAUUGAAUUUUCAACUUUUUUAGAAAGAAUGCAUGGAGAUAUAUGUGAGUCAAUACACCCAUCAUGUAGACCAUUUCGUUAUUUUACGGUAUUAAUCAAUUCUUCUAUUAGAUGAUUACAUGUUUGUCUACUUUCUACAAGGAAUAUAGUUUUGCUAGACUACUUGCUCAAAUCAUAAAAUUUCAAGUGCAAUUCCCUGAUUACCUAAUCAAGAGUAUUCGUCUUAACAAUGCUGGUGAAUUUAGAUCACAAGUAUUCGAUGAUUACUAUUUGAGGUCGAUCAUCCAAAGCAGGAAUGGACCUAAAAAGUCAAGUCAUAUGAGUAGGAGGAUCGUCAAUUGGAAUUGUAAUUGAAAUUCAGUUGGGCAUGCCCAUACACAAAUAGGUUAGUGAGUCAUUUAUUAUACGUCUAUAAUUUAUUGCUAGACCAUUACUUAUGAAAACAAAACUCCUAAUUUCUAUUUGGGCUCAUGCCAUAUUAUAUGUUGCGUCAUUGAUUCGUAUUAGACCAACUACAUAUUAUCAAUAUUCGCCUUUCCGACUGGCAUUUGGUCAAAAACUUGAUAUUUUUCACAUAUGAAUUUUUUAUUGUGCUGUCCAAGUUCCCAUUUCCUAAUGAAGACUUGGGAUUAUGUGGGAUUUAAUACAUCAUUUAUUAUUAAGUAUCUUGAAUCUUUAAUGGGUAAUUUAUUUAUUGCACAUUUUGUAGAUUGCAACUUUUCCAGCUUUGAGAGGGAAAAAACAACAUUCUAAAAAACAAAAUGAAAUUUAUUGGAAUGAAAAAACUCUAUCUUACUUUGAUCCCUGCAUCAAUCAAUGUGAGCAAGAUGUUUAAAAAAUUGUUCAUUUGCAAAGAGUUGUAAAUCAAUUACUUGAUAUAUUUGUUAACACAAGAAAAGUGACAAAGUCAUAUAUUCUAGUAGAAAAUAUUACGGCAAAAAUUAAUGUUCCUGAAGGAUAAUCUGUUGUAGCAAAUGAAUCUCAAAUACGCCAUAAGAGUGGUAGACCUAUUGGUUCAAAAGACUUUGUACCUCAAAAAAGAAAAGUAUAAGAAAAAACCAAACCAAAAAUUUCAAAAGAAGUAAUAUUAGAAAAAAAUUGAUCAAACAAAUAUUGAAAAUGUGGACCCUGAAGAAUCACAAGUGUCUAAAAAUAAUGAGAUUUUAAUAAAUUAUAUGUUAUUUCAUAAAUCAUGGGAACGAUAUAAUUUUGUUAUAAACAAUACUUUCUCCUUCAACAUGACUCUUGAUAUUAUAUAAAAUGAGGAUCUUGAACCACAGUGAAUUAAAAACUGUCAAAAUAGAAAUGAUUAACAAAAAUGGAAAGAAUUCAUAUAAGUGGAAUUGAAUACUUUAGAGAAACAAAAAAAAAUGUUUAGACCUAUAGUUUGAGCACCUGAAAAUGCAAUCCCUAUAAGAUAUAAAUAGGUUUUUGUAUGAAAAAAAAUGAAAUUACAAGAUAUAAAGCUUGAAUCGUAACUUAAGGUUUCUCACAAAGACCAAGUUACGAGGAAAUAUAUUUUCCCGUAAUGGACACUAUCACUUUUAUAUUCUUAAUUAGUUUGACUGUAUCAUAAAAGUUUGAUAUACGUCUUAUGGAUAUAGUAACUGUUUAGUUGUACGAUUCACUUGAUAGUGACAUAUAAUGAAAGUCCCCGAAGGACUUUAAGGUGACAGGAACAAACGAUAUAUGUCCCAGAACCAUGUUCUCAAUUAAAUUACAAAGAUCAUUAUAUAGAUCAAAACAAUUCAGAUGCAUGUGGCAUAAUCGCUUUAGCGAAUAUUUGUUAAAAGAGGGUUAUUUUAUAAAAAAAACAAAUAUUGAAUUUACAAUUGUGGCAAUUCAUGUUGAUAAUUUAAAUUUAAUUGAAACUUCUGAAGAGCUAAACAAAACUGUAUAUUAUUUGAAAAAUGAAUUUGAGAUAAAAGAUAUGGGAAAAACUAAAUUCUAACUCGAGAUACAGAUUGAACAUUUUUUAGUAAGAUUAUUUGUUUAUCAAUCUAUUUAUACAUAAAAGUCUUAAAGUGAUUUUAUAUGGAUAAUGCACAUCUAUUAACAUCAUUUAUAGUUGUUCGAUCACUUGAUGUGAAAGAAGAUCGAUUUCGUCCACUUGAAAAUAAAGAAAAUAUUCUUGAUCAUGAAGUAUCAUAUCUUAGUGCAAUUGGAGUACUAACUUAUAUUGCAAAUUACACUAGACCCGACAUUUUUUUUUUUGGUCUUCUUGCAAGAUAUAAUUCUACACCAACUCAAAGACACUGGAAUAGUGUUGAACAUUUUUUUAUAAUUAAAGGGCACUAUUGAUUUUUGAUUAUUUUAUUAUCAAAAGUCGAAAUCUGGUUUAAUGGAAGAUGCAGAUGCAGGUUAUCUCUCUGACCCACAUAAAGCUAAAUUACAAAUAGAAUAUGUAUUUACACAUGGAAGAACAAUUAUAUCAUGGAAAUCUGUGAAACAAUUCUUGACAACAGCAUUGUCAAAUCAUUUUGAAAUUAGUGCAAUCCAUGAAGCAUGACGAGAAUGUAUAUAGUUGAGGAACAUGACCCAUCAUAUUCAAACAUCAUGUGGAUUAACUUCAACUAAAGAUAGUACAAUAAUUUUAUAUGAAAAUAAUGCAGCUUGUAUUGCACAACUCAAAAAAUGUUAUAUUAAAUGUGACAGGACAAAGCAUAUUUUCUUAAAUAAAUAAAAAAAAUUCUAAUACUUGAGCUUAAAAAAAAUGGCGACAUCGAUGUUCAACGAAUUCGCUCAAGUAACAAUAUGGUCGAUUUAUUCACAAAAGCACUGUUGAUAUCUACAUUCAAGAAAUUAGUUCACAAGAUUGUAAUACGUCGACUGAAAGAUUUUCAGUGAUCAAUAUGAUAGGGAGUAGCUGUACUCUUUUUCCUUCACAUAGGCUUCAUUCCACUGGGUUUUUCUAGCAAUGUUUUAAUGAGAUAGCACUCGAUAUAAAUUUAAAGGUUUGAGACUUUAGAGACAUAAAUUUUGGAUCUUUUGAGACCUUAAAAUUGUCCUCCUUAAAUUAAGUAGGUACAUUCCUCACAAGCCUUUAAUGGCCAGUUUGGACGACAAUGGAGAAAAAUGACCACUCUUUUAAAGGAAAACAUUUAGUUAGGGUAACCAAUAUAAAAUACAAGUAUGAAUAAAAAGGGCAAAAAAGUCGAUGGAAUUUAGGUUCCUUUCCAAAACAAUUUUAGUUCAUAUUAUUUAAAAAAUGAUCCUCUAGCCAAAAGUUAUAAAAAGUAGCUAGAUGUCAAAUUGUUUGGACAUUUUCUCCAAUUUCCUAUUUGGAGAAUGAGUACACGUGGAACUUGUUGUUUCGACUUUCAUUUCGAUGAACAACGUCAUGAAUUGAGAGUCUUGAUAGUGAAUGAUGUUCUUGUGUUACUAGAACUGCGGAUUUAGAUAUUCUUUAAGCGAUUAAACUCCCAAUAUCUUGAUGCAUAUCAAAAAUAAAGAGCUUAUUGUUUUGUAUGAGGAAAAAACAUUAAUUUUCCAUCAUAUCUGAUGGUGUUCUUGUGCUUCGAUCUUAUAUUUCUAUAACAUUAUUGUGAUUAGAUAUUCUCAAUUGCCACAAAUGCUACACUAGCCUCAUUAUAUAGUAUCUAAGCAAUCACUACUAGAUGGAAUUGAACUGUAGCAUGAAUAAAAUUUAGCUCCCGUUUGGUAGCCAUUUUUUUCAAAAUGCAUUUUUCUCUCUUUUCUUUUCAACCAAACAUUCUUUAUUAAAAUAAUAUUACACGUAAAUCAAAAAAAUUUCCUUAUUUCUCAACCCACAUUUCACAUCAAUUUACUAUUCUAAAAUGCAUUUUUACAUAAAAAUGCCUAUCAAACACUAAACUUUUUUUUCUUAUUUAACGAAGUCCGUCUAGUCACAUCGAAUACUAUCCACCAAACAUGCACUUAAAAGGAGAUAAGUUGAAACUUGAAUCUCAUACAAAAUAGAGUGAAGAUAUAGAAUUAAGCUAAAUGACCACAUUUGUUGACGCAAAGGUUGACACGCCUCUCACAGCCAAGGUGUGGGUCCCGCGCCAAUAAAAUAACGCCGACCUUCCCAUGUGAGUGUGUUGUAUCAACCGAUGUGUCAACAAAUGUGACUAUGUAGCAUGACCCGAAGAUAUAAGUUUUCAAGAAUAAAUAAGCAAGCAAUUCGUCGGUUGUGGUAAUUCUGAUUUUUUUUUUUUUGUUUUUAUGCUUUCACUAUUCAAUACGUAAAAAGAAAUGUACAUUGAUAGAGACUUCCAAAGCCAUUUCUGCUGCUUGCACAAGAAAAUGUCAAGUGGUGACCUACAAACAUCCCUGCGUCAUCAGAAUUCCGUAACAUGAAAUAAACUGGAACCUGAACAAAAAUCGAAAAAUAUAUUAUCUUGGUCAUUGAAGAUUAUCUUGGUCCGGAUAACUCAUCUGGUAGGACAUUGGAAGUCAAGACAGGAUUUGCCCAGACAGUAUUCGGGUGGUAGAUGGGAUUUAACUCUUGUCGUAACAUUUCUUCCUUCUGCCACUCAUCCCACUUCUCGGCCAAGCCAUCGCCUUCAAGCAUCCUGACAACAUCCGACAUCUUGGGACGCUCCGUAGGAUAACUUUGUGUGCAAAGCAAAGCCAUUUGAAUUAGCUGCUCCACCUCUUCCUCAAUAUAAUUGCCCUGGAGGUCUGCAUCGACUAAAGUUUCCAACCUUUUCUGCUUCAGAAGUUUCUUAACCUGAAAUCAAAGUCCAAAGUAAAUGAAAUAAUAAGCCCAAAAGGGAAAGCUUGCAAAAACACAAGUGCACGAUUCAACAAUAUUAUGAAUAAUAUUUAAGCUUCUUUUCUUCCUUGAGAAUGUCCAAUCCUGAAUAGGCCAUAAAGGACUAGGGGUGGAUUUUAGGUACGCAAUAAUGGAGCAACGUAAUUUUUUCCAUCUAUUUCAAAGUUUGAAGUUGAAGACCACACAAGAAUCUCUUAUUAUCUAAUUGAAGGAUGCACAAAAAGGGAAAAUGAUAGUGCUCACCCAAUCCAGUAACCUCACAUCAUCAUCAUUAACAAAACAAGCCAGAUCGCAAGCUCUCUGCCCAGUAAUGAGCUCAAGAAGCAUGACUCCAUAUCCAAAAGCAUCACUUUUCUCGGAACAUUUACCGGUGGAGAGGUACUCGGGAGCUAUAUGACCAAUUGUGCCAUAUACAGCUGUGGUAACAUGAGUAUCCGUGUAGUCCAUGAGUUUGGCCAGCCCAAAGUCACCGACAACUGCUUCAAAGUCUUCAUCCAACAAUAUGUUUGCAGCUUUGACAUCACGGUGAAUAAUCUUAGGAUCACAAUGAUCAUGCAAGCAAGCAAGCCCCCUUGCAGCUCCCAAUGCUAUACGCCUUCUAAUUGUCCAAUCAAGUGGAGGUUGUGAUUCAGAUCGUUCUAUAAUAAUCCAUUAAUAAGCUAUUAGAACAUAAAUAACAAUAUAAAAUUAAAAGUAGAGCCUUUCCAGAUACUACACUGUCAAAUAUCAACAUGGAAAGUUCACGUUCAGCCACAUUAUUAGCUCCAUAUCACAUAAUGUGAUAUUAAUUAAAAAAUUUUGAUUAAACCACAAAGACAUUUGCCGUGACUCUAAUGGACGACUUUUUGCCGCCACCAACACCAAUAUCAUUAUCAAACCAAAGACAUCUAAAUGUCUUUUUUACUAAAUCAUCAUGAUAACUGGUCAUUCCUUCCAUGCUCUCUCUCUCUCUCUCUCUCACACGCACACACAUCUGCUUGUCAGCUUGGUUGAUAUGAACGGGAAAGGGUUGAUGGUGGCAGAAGCAGAAGCAAAUUCACAUUGAUAAGAAGAAAAAUGAAUUGGAACAAAAGGAAAUUAACCUGGAAUGAGAGAAAAAGAAAAAAAAAAGAAAAGAACAAGUAACGAAUGCGAGGUGUACGGCCAAGAGUUAGUGCCCCUUCCAUAUGAACAAUAUUGGUCAAACAAAGAGACAUCUUAUUAGUUGAAAUUUGUUGCAAGUGUGAAAGGGAAUUGAGACUUUGGAUUCACCCCUUUGCUACAUAUUAAAUAAAUGUGGAAACCAGAAGCGUCAUCAUAAUUACACCAAGGGAAGUGAUCAUUAGCAAAGCUUAGAUUAUAACUGAAGCUGGUCAAAAUACUUUUUAUCCACAUUUUGUGGGACCCGCAACUUGUAAGCACUACAUUUACUACAGUCAAUUAACUUAUAUUAAAUUCUAGUCAGCAUCUCAUGUAAAGAAUUUCUUAGUACUCUAGAUCAAGGUCUCAAUAUUAUAUUAUUUUUCAGAUUAAGGUUAAGAGUAUUAUUUUCACUUUCAAAUCUCUUUAGUCCUCAUAAAUCAAAUCGUGUUUCCAUAAAUGUCAUGCUUAUAAAUAUUUCAUUGCCUAAACUACAGAACAUAUUCUUUAACUGUGACAUUAUUAUCAGCAAGCAACAUUUAUGCACAGAAUAUGUAUAUGUGACUCAGUCAAAUAAAGAAUAUACGAAAAUGAUAAAAAGCUGUACCUCUUAAGCAUGAUGCUAGAUUUCCAUUAGCCAUGUAGGGGUAAACAAGCAUUCGUUCUGUAGGUGUCAUGCAAAAGCCACGUAACCGAAGUAGAUUUCGAUGCACAGCCAUGCUGAUCAUUUCUACUUCAGUUUGAAACUGAAGCUCUCCACCUUGUGUACGUUCGUCUUUUAAUCUUUUAACUGCGACAAGAGAACCAUCAGCCAACUG
RNAcentral lists this long non-coding RNA (33143 nucleotides) under Olea europaea (common olive). RNAcentral describes it as "long non-coding RNA (OEUR_LNC001871)". The record is from RNAcentral. Lineage: Eukaryota; Viridiplantae; Streptophyta; Magnoliopsida; Lamiales; Oleaceae.